Molecule: ribosomal RNA, 203 nt
Filed under: Vibrio cholerae
Lineage: Bacteria; Pseudomonadati; Pseudomonadota; Gammaproteobacteria; Vibrionales; Vibrionaceae
Description: partial 16S ribosomal RNA
Rfam family: Bacterial small subunit ribosomal RNA
Source: RNAcentral
UUAAUUGAAGAGUUUGAUCAUGGCUCAGAUUGAACGCUGGCGGCAGGCCUAACACAUGCAAGUCGAGCGGCAGCACAGAGGAACUUGUUCCUUGGGUGGCGAGCGGCGGACGGGUGAGUAAUGCCUGGGAAAUUGCCCGGUAGAGGGGGAUAACCAUUGGAAACGAUGGCUAAUACCGCAUAACCUCGCAAGAGCAAAGCAGG